RNAcentral lists this long non-coding RNA (1756 nucleotides) under Mytilus galloprovincialis (Mediterranean mussel). Lineage: Eukaryota; Metazoa; Mollusca; Bivalvia; Mytilida; Mytilidae. The record is from RNAcentral.
CUCAUUUUCAAUCAUACCACGUCUCUUUUUAUAGUGUAUUAGAUAAUAACUUGUUUUAUAUUAAAUCUCAAUUCGCGUUAACCUAAAACACGGGGAAUUCAUUGAAAAAAACGACCGGUAUUUGAAAAUGUAUAUAACUCACGACUACUAUGGUCGUUCUAACCGCUAUUAUUACGUUGACAGUCGAUGGUUUGACAAUGGUGUAUUAUUGGUUGACACUUGGGUAAUAGUGUUUAACGCUUUUGUGCGAUUGUUUAAUGCUGAGUACGAUUGUUUGACGCUUAGAACGAUUGUUUCGCGCUGAGUGCGAUUGUUUGAUCCUUAGUACGAUUGUUUGACGAUGAGAACGAUUGUUUGAAACUGAACUAUGAUUGCGUGACGCUGAUAUACUAUUGUUUGACACUUAAGCACGGUUGUCUUUUUUUCUUAUUAAACAACGAUGUAUUGUAUUAUUUUCAAUAUUUUCCAUGUUCCUAGCUAUGUCAAUAAAAAAAAUGUAAAUUUAUAGCAGAUUUUAUGAUUUUGAGUUGAUUAAUCUUCGCCAGUAUGCAGUAUAAUGUAAAAGUACGAUUUAGCUUUUAUCAAUAAACUUGUACUUGAUUAUCAAAUGUUGCAAACACUGUUUAAAGAGGUGUACAUUAUAAUAUGAACUAAACUAUGGUUAUUAGCAAUAUACUUGCAGAAUACAUCGGCGUUGCUAAACGGCUAAGAGAGUUUAAAGCAAAGGUCCAAAAUAACGCUCAUCAACCAAAAGAAGAAACCUAAGUUUCCAAUGGUGGCAGUUGCUGACUAUGCAGGCAAAUGAGUCAAGUGCGGUAAGAUGAUCUAAAAUUGAAUACUUCCUCUAAAUGGAUCAAAGCUGACCGGUGAUUCAUGCAGAAGGACGUUCAAGAUCUAUGAUUAACGAUGACCAUGCAGAUUUCGUAUCCUCUAAAAAAUGACAGAGAAUGUGAAUGCUUUAUAGUUUUAACCUCAAGACAAAUAUAGUGUUGUUCCAGCACACAAUGCAUCUUAGAUAAUAUUGAUUUUAUAUGUCUCAUUAAAGAAUCGAAAUGCACUAAAAACAAGUUGAAUCCCAUAUAUAUCUAUCACAUAAACAUCAUUCACAACAUAUAGAGUUUUAGAAAUUACAAGUCAGUCUCAUCUUUCCUCCGGUUAUGCCAUAAUACAUGAUAAUGAACCUCUACAGUUUCAUAGAUAGACUUGUCAACUUCACACAAUUAUAAAGAAUGAUUUCAAGCGAUUGAAAUAGCAGUGUCAAUUUAAUAGAUUACUUUCGAGAUUGUCCGUCAUCGGCAAAAAACUCGGCAAUUAUGCGCGCCUUUAAGACAUCGGGUUUGACACUGAUGUACUAUUGCUUGGCGCUGGAGUAAUAUUUUGCGACGCUUAAAGGCGAUUGUUUGACGCUGAGUACGAUUGUUUGACGCUGGUUUCGAUUGUUUGACGCUGAGUACGAUUGUAUGACGCUUGAGGAAUAGAGUUUGACGCUAUAUGGCGAUUUCGUGAUGCUGAGUACGAUUGUUUGACGCUGAGAACAAUUGUUUGACGUUUGAGUAAUCGUGUUAGACGCUAUAGGGCGAUUGUUUGACACUGGGUACAUUUGUUUGACGCUGAGUACGAUUGUUUGAAACUGAACUAUGAUUGCGUGACGCUGAAAUACUAUUGUUUGACACUAAAGCACGGUUGCAUCUUAUUAAAUAACGAUGUAUUUUAUUAUUUUCAAUAUUUUACAUGUUCCUAUGUCGAUGACAAAGAA